GACGAACGCUGGCGGCGUGCUUAACACAUGCAAGUCGAACGGAAAGGCCCUGCUUUUGUGGGGUGCUCGAGUGGCGAACGGGUGAGUAACACGUGAGUAACCUGCCCUUGACUUUGGGAUAACUUCAGGAAACUGGGGCUAAUACCGGAUAGGAUCUCCUGCUGCAUGGUGGGGGUUGGAAAGUUUCGGCGGUUGGGGAUGGACUCGCGGCUUAUCGGCUUGUUGGUGGGGUAGUGGCUUACCAAGGCUUUGACGGGUAGCCGGCCUGAGAGGGUGACCGGCCACAUUGGGACUGAGAUACGGCCCAGACUCCUACGGGAGGCAGCAGUGGGGAAUAUUGCACAAUGGGCGGAAGCCUGAUGCAGCAACGCCGCGUGCGGGAUGACGGCCUUCGGGUUGUAAACAGCUUCCGCCUGUGACGAAGCGUGAGUGACGGUAAUGGGUAAAGAAGCACCGGCUAACUACGUG
Molecule: ribosomal RNA, 468 nt
Filed under: uncultured bacterium
Lineage: Bacteria
Description: partial 16S ribosomal RNA
Rfam family: Bacterial small subunit ribosomal RNA
Source: RNAcentral